RNAcentral lists this ribosomal RNA (191 nucleotides) under uncultured bacterium. RNAcentral's name for it is "partial 16S ribosomal RNA". It matches the Rfam family "Bacterial small subunit ribosomal RNA", at positions 511 to 701 of the family's 1533-position model. The record is from RNAcentral.
GCCGCCGCGGUAAUACGAAGGGGGCUAGCGUUGUUCGGAUUUACUGGGCGUAAAGCGCACGUAGGCGGACUUUUAAGUCAGGGGUGAAAUCCCAGAGCUCAACUCUGGAACUGCCUUUGAUACUGGAAGUCUUGAGUAUGGUAGAGGUGAGUGGAAUUCCGAGUGUAGAGGUGAAAUUCGUAGAUAUUCGG